AGUGGUUCGAGGUUGCCAUCUUGGAUAGUUAUUUCUCCCAGUUUGGUGCAACCUCAAACAAAAAAGCAUUGGCAAUUUUAGUAUUUUUGGUGGGAAACUAAUGAAAGUGAAAAAUUUUUGUAAUGGGUGUAGUUUACAAUGCCAAGUUAGUUACAAUAAUGCAGGUAUUGGAUAUUGGUGGACUCGGAAUCCAUUUCAUUCAUGCUAAGCCCAGUAAAGAAUUGAUGAAAAACAAAAAAGUUUUACCGUUGCUGCUUCUUCAUGGAUGGCCAGGCUCAUUCAUAGAGUUCACAAAAAUUAUUCCCUUGCUCACUA
Daphnia magna is the source of this 315-nucleotide long non-coding RNA. RefSeq lists it as uncharacterized. Lineage: Eukaryota; Metazoa; Arthropoda; Branchiopoda; Diplostraca; Daphniidae. The record is from RefSeq and is a predicted model, not a curated record. The transcript is spliced from 2 exons.